Molecule: transfer RNA, 74 nt
Filed under: Dermabacter sp.
Lineage: Bacteria; Bacillati; Actinomycetota; Actinomycetes; Micrococcales; Dermabacteraceae
Description: tRNA-Pro
Rfam family: tRNA
About the family: Transfer RNA (tRNA) molecules are approximately 80 nucleotides in length. Their secondary structure includes four short double-helical elements and three loops (D, anti-codon, and T loops).
Source: RNAcentral
CGGGAUGUAGCUCAGCUUGGUAGAGCGUCCGCUUUGGGAGCGGAAGGUCGCAGGGUCAAAUCCUGUCAUCCCGA